RNAcentral lists this ribosomal RNA (449 nucleotides) under uncultured bacterium. RNAcentral describes it as "partial 16S ribosomal RNA". It matches the Rfam family "Bacterial small subunit ribosomal RNA", at positions 29 to 523 of the family's 1533-position model. The record is from RNAcentral.
AGCGAACGCUGGCGGCAGGCCUAACACAUGCAAGUCGAACGAACUCUUCGGAGUUAGUGGCGGACGGGUGAGUAACACGUGGGAACGUGCCUUUAGGCUCGGAAUAACUCAGGGAAACUUGUGCUAAUACCGAAUGUGCCCUUCGGGGGAAAGAUUUAUCGCCUUUAGAGCGGCCCGCGUCUGAUUAGCUAGUUGGUGAGGUAAAGGCUCACCAAGGCGACGAUCAGUAGCUGGUCUGAGAGGAUGAUCGGCCACAUUGGGACUGAGACACGGCCCAAACUCCUACGGGAGGCAGCAGUGGGGAAUUUUGCGCAAUGGGCGAAAGCCUGACGCAGCCAUGCCGCGUGAAUGAUGAAGGUCUUAGGAUUGUAAAAUUCUUUCACCGGGGACGAUAAUGACGGUACCCGGAGAAGAAGCCCCGGCUAACUUCGUGCCAGCCGCCGCGGUAA